GGAAUCUUGCACAAUGGGCGAAAGCCUGAUGCAGCGACGCCGCGUGGGGGAUGAAGGCCCUAGGGUCGUAAACCCCUUUCAGCAGGGACGAAGAUGACGGUACCUGCAGAAGAAGCCCCGGCCAACUACGUGCCAGCAGCCGCGGUAAGACGUAGGGGGCGAGCGUUGUCCGGAUUUAUUGGGCGUAAAGAGCUCGUAGGCGGUUGCGUAAGUCGGAUGUGAAAACUCAGGGCUCAACCCUGAGACGCCAUCCGAUACUGCGCUGACUUGAAUCCAGUAGGGGAGUGCGGAAUUCCUGGUGUAGCGGUGAAAUGCGCAGAUAUCAGGAGGAACACCCAUGGCGAAGGCAGCACUCUGGGCUGGUAUUGACGCUGAGGAGCGAAAGCAUGGGUAGCGAACAGGAUUAGAUACCCUGGUAGUCCCUGAGCGGGCUGGCAAGGCGCAU
This 445-nucleotide ribosomal RNA is filed under the name uncultured bacterium. RNAcentral describes it as "bacterial SSU rRNA". It matches the Rfam family "Bacterial small subunit ribosomal RNA", at positions 358 to 825 of the family's 1533-position model. The record is from RNAcentral.